AUGAACGCUGGCGGCGUGCCUAAUCCAUGCCCGUCGAGCGAACAGACGAGGAGCUUGCUCCUCUGACGUUAGCGGCGGACGGGUGAGUAACACGUGGAUAACCUACCUAUAAGACUGGGAUAACUUCGGGAAACCGGAGCUAAUACCGGAUAAUAUAUUGAACCGCAUGGUUCAAUAGUGAAAGACGGUUUUGCUGUCACUUAUAGAUGGAUCCGCGCCGCAUUAGCUAGUUGGUAAGGUAACGGCUUACCAAGGCAACGAUGCGUAGCCGACCUGAGAGGGUGAUCGGCCACACUGGAACUGAGACACGGUCCAGACUCCUACGGGAGGCAGCAGUAGGGAAUCUUCCGCAAUGGGCGAAAGCUUGACGGAGCAACGCCGCGUGAGUGAUGAAGGUCUUCGGAUCGUAAAACUCUGUUAUUAGGGAAGAACAAAUGUGUAAGUAACUAUGCACGUCUUGACGGUACCUAAUCAGAAAGCCACGGCUAACUACGUG
RNAcentral lists this ribosomal RNA (496 nucleotides) under uncultured bacterium. Its description in RNAcentral is "partial 16S ribosomal RNA". It matches the Rfam family "Bacterial small subunit ribosomal RNA", at positions 29 to 507 of the family's 1533-position model. The record is from RNAcentral.